This 75-nucleotide transfer RNA is filed under the name Coxiella endosymbiont of Amblyomma sculptum. RNAcentral's name for it is "tRNA-Arg". It matches the Rfam family "tRNA". Rfam says of the family: Transfer RNA (tRNA) molecules are approximately 80 nucleotides in length. Lineage: Bacteria; Pseudomonadati; Pseudomonadota; Gammaproteobacteria; Legionellales; Coxiellaceae. The record is from RNAcentral.
GCGCCCGUAGCUCAGUUUGGAUAGAGUACCUGGCUACGAACCAGGAAGUCGAGGGUUCGAAUCCCUCCGGGCGCG